UUAUCCCCUCCUUCCUCCCACUCUCGGUCAGCCACCUUCCUACCCCCAAGCUCGCGUCCGUCCAUGGCGUUCACCGCACCGGUAGGGGUGGGAGGCGCCCCCCUCUCCCUCGCUAUCUCCGCAUCCUCGACCUCCAGCUCGGCCUCCUUCCUCCUCCGCGCCGGCGGCGACUGCCCGCAGCGCGGGAGGCUCCGCCGCCUCGCCGCCCCACGGAGCGGAUGCGCCAGGGGGGAUAGCCGGAGGAGAUGGGACUGCCAAAUAACCCGCUGUGCCGGCGAGGCGAAUGUGGUGACCGAGGACGAUACGGCGGAUGUUGCUGAUGAUGCCGCCACGGACCAAGCUGCCGAUGAUGCCGCCGAUGUGCUCGACUCCUUGAACCCUGACGACGCUGAUUCAGUUGCCUGGAUAAAGCAGCAGCCUCUCCCUUAUCCUGCAGAUGCUCUGGAGCCAUACAUAAGCAAGGAGACGGUGGAGCAGCACUGGGGAGUUCACCAGCGCGGGCACGUGGACAGGCUCAACGGCAUGAUCGGCGGCAGUGAGUGGGAGCGGAUGUCGAUUGGGCAGAUGAUGCUCGCCUCAUUCAAUGAAGGCAGGGAGCCACCACAUGCUCCCUUCUUCCAUGCCGCACAGGUAUGGAACCAUGAUUUCUACUGGCGAUCAAUGAAGCCUGGCGGUGGAGGCAAGCCCCCGGAACGGCUUCUGAAGUUUAUAAACAGGGACUUUGGAUCCUAUGACGGCAUGAUUAAACAAUUCAUGGAUGCCGCACUAACUCAGUUCGGUUCUGGAUGGGUUUGGCUUUCUUACAAAGGCAGUAAAUUACCUCAUGUGGAUUCAAAAAGCCCAAUCCCAUCCGACAAUUAUGGUAGGCUGGUCAUCUCAAAGUCUCCGAAUGCUAUCAAUCCUCUUGUCUGGGGCCACUCUCCACUCCUUGCGAUCGAUAUUUGGGAGCAUGCCUACUACCUGGAUUAUGAGAAUCGAAGGGCUGAGUAUGUCUCAGCAAUUCUAGAGAAGCUUGUGUCGUGGGAAAUGGUGGAGUCCAGGCUCCGGAAAGCUGUUCUGCGAGCAAUAGAAAGAGACGGUCACAGCAGCCCGAAGCAGCGAAGGAAGCAACUUCUGCCCCAGGCUAAAGGCCGCGACGGGGAUGCAAGUACCAGCGGUGAGGCGAGAAGGCGACCAAGAAGUAAGGAUCAGCAGGCCCCUUCCAGCGUGACAAUGGUACCAGCAGGUGAGCCGGUACCAAACUAAGCCAUGAGCCCGUGAGGUUGGCGACCAGUAGCACGGGCAGGCAGCUAGAGCAGCGUGGCCCAAAUCGUCUAGAACAGUAGUCUCUGAAGAAUGUGUGCAGCGCGGUGGAGGCAUCACUCUGCUUCCUGGUGACCGUUGUAGCAUGAUUUGCACGCCUCGGUUUUUGUCAAUGUUUGUCUAAUAGGAGUACCGUAGUAUGCCUGUAUAACUUGAGCAACAAGCAACAAUGCUGGAUAGGCUAAAUUUUGGUAAGUAGCCUCAGGGUUUGGUGUCAUAUAUUGGUUGAGAGAUAGGCUUAGGAAGUAGGCACUUGGACUCUGGUCUUUUUAGAAGUAGAAGCAUAGUCUCUGUCCCUGUUUGGAUCAUAAAUAUCAGCAAUCUCCUUUUGAUGCUCACAAGAUUGUUCCUCCUAAUGAGUCCAACUGAGAAGAGGAACCAUUUGGCCCAUUAAUCCCUUCUAUCUGAUUAACGAUAUAGUUUUGUGCGAAA
RNA transcript from Hordeum vulgare subsp. vulgare (domesticated barley), 1734 nucleotides. It is a transcript of the gene named superoxide dismutase [Fe] 1, chloroplastic-like, with no coding region annotated. Lineage: Eukaryota; Viridiplantae; Streptophyta; Magnoliopsida; Poales; Poaceae. The record is from RefSeq and is a predicted model, not a curated record. The transcript is spliced from 8 exons.